RNAcentral lists this ribosomal RNA (371 nucleotides) under uncultured organism. Its description in RNAcentral is "partial 16S ribosomal RNA". It matches the Rfam family "Bacterial small subunit ribosomal RNA", at positions 527 to 896 of the family's 1533-position model. The record is from RNAcentral.
GUAGGUGGCAAGCGUUGUCCGGAAUUAUUGGGCGUAAAGCGCGCGCAGGCGGUUCUUUAAGUCUGAUGUGAAAGCCCACGGCUCAACCGUGGAGGGUCAUUGGAAACUGGAGAACUUGAGUACAGAAGAGGAAAGCGGAAUUCCACGUGUAGCGGUGAAAUGCGUAGAGAUGUGGAGGAACACCAGUGGCGAAGGCGGCUUUCUGGUCUGUAACUGACGCUGAGGCGCGAAAGCGUGGGGGAGCAAACAGGAUUAGAUACCCUGGUAGUCCACGCCGUAAACGAUGAGUGCUAGGUGUUAGGGGGUUUCCGCCCCUUAGUGCUGCAGCUAACGCAUUAAGCACUCCGCCUGGGAGUACGGCCGCAAGGCUG